This 73-nucleotide transfer RNA is filed under the name Chloroflexota bacterium. Its description in RNAcentral is "Chloroflexi bacterium (groundwater metagenome) tRNA-Val". It matches the Rfam family "tRNA". Rfam says of the family: Transfer RNA (tRNA) molecules are approximately 80 nucleotides in length. Their secondary structure includes four short double-helical elements and three loops (D, anti-codon, and T loops). Further hydrogen bonds mediate the characteristic L-shaped molecular structure. tRNAs have two regions of fundamental functional importance: the anti-codon, which is responsible for specific mRNA codon recognition, and the 3' end, to which the tRNAs corresponding amino acid is attached (by aminoacyl-tRNA synthetases). tRNAs cope with the degeneracy of the genetic code in two manners: having more than one tRNA (with a specific anti-codon) for a particular amino acid; and 'wobble' base-pairing, i.e. permitting non-standard base-pairing at the 3rd anti-codon position. Lineage: Bacteria; Bacillati; Chloroflexota. The record is from RNAcentral.
GGGCGAAUAGCUCAGCUGGUAGAGCACUUGCUUUACACGCAAGGGGUCACGGGUUCGAGCCCUGUUUCGCCCA